UGCAUGGAGCCGACCUUGAAAUACCACCCUUUAAUGUUUGAUGUUCUAACGUUGGCCCGUAAUCCGGGUUGCGGACAGUGUCUGGUGGGUAGUUUGACUGGGGCGGUCUCCUCCUAAAGAGUAACGGAGGAGCACGAAGGUUGGCUAAUCCUGGUCGGACAUCAGGAGGUUAGUGCAAUGGCAUAAGCCAGCUUGACUGCGAGCGUGACGGCGCGAGCAGGUGCGAAAGCAGGUCAUAGUGAUCCGGUGGUUCUGAAUGGAAGGGCCAUCGCUCAACGGAUAAAAGGUACUCCGGGGAUAACAGGCUGAUACCGCCCAAGAGUUCAUAUCGACGGCGGUGUUUGGCACCUCGAUGUCGGCUCAUCACAUCCUGGGGCUGAAGUAGGUCCCAAGGGUAUGGCUGUUCGCCAUUUAAAGUGGUACGCGAGCUGGGUUUAGAACGUCGUGAGACAGUUCGGUCCCUAUCUGCCGUGGGCGCUGGAGAACUGAGGGGGGCUGCUCCUAGUACGAGAGGACCGGAGUGGACGCAUCACUGGUGUUCGGGUUGUCAUGCCAAUGGCACUGCCCGGUAGCUAAAUGCGGAAGAGAUAAGUGCUGAAAGCAUCUAAGCACGAAACUUGCCCCGAGAUGAGUUCUCCCUGAGACUUAGAGUCUCCUGAAGGAACGUUGAAGACGACGACGUUGAUAGGCCGGGUGUGUAAGCGCAGCGAUGCGUUGAGCUAACCGGUACUAAUGAACCGUGAGGCUUAACCUU
Molecule: ribosomal RNA, 754 nt
Filed under: Escherichia coli
Lineage: Bacteria; Pseudomonadati; Pseudomonadota; Gammaproteobacteria; Enterobacterales; Enterobacteriaceae
Description: partial 23S ribosomal RNA
Rfam family: Bacterial large subunit ribosomal RNA
Source: RNAcentral